RNAcentral lists this ribosomal RNA (396 nucleotides) under uncultured bacterium. RNAcentral describes it as "bacterial SSU rRNA". It matches the Rfam family "Bacterial small subunit ribosomal RNA", at positions 505 to 898 of the family's 1533-position model. The record is from RNAcentral.
GUGCCAGCCGCCGCGGUAAUACAGAGGUCUCAAGCGUUGUUCGGAUUCAUUGGGCGUAAAGGGUGCGUAGGUGGCGAUGUAAGUCUGGUGUGAAAUCUCGGGGCUCAACCUCGAAAUUGCAUUGGAUACUGCGUUGCUAGAGGAUUGUAGAGGAGAGUGGAAUUCACGGUGUAGCAGUGAAAUGCGUAGAUAUCGUGAGGAAGACCAGUUGCGAAGGCGACUCUCUGGGCAAUUCCUGACACUGAGGCACGAAGGCCAGGGGAGCAAACGGGAUUAGAUACCCCGGUAGUCCUGGCAGUAAACGGUGCACGUUUGGUGUGGGCGGGUUCAGACCCCGUCCGUGCCGGAGCUAACGCGUUAAACGUGCCGCCUGGGAAGUACGGUCGCAAGAUUAAA